UACGUCUUGGUUGUCUACUCAAA
RNAcentral lists this non-coding RNA (23 nucleotides) under Arabidopsis thaliana (thale cress). Lineage: Eukaryota; Viridiplantae; Streptophyta; Magnoliopsida; Brassicales; Brassicaceae. The record is from RNAcentral.